GCUGGGUGCAGUGGUGCACACCUGUAAUCCCAGCAGCUCUGGAAGCUGAGGCAGGAGGAUUGCAAAUUCAAAGUCAGCCUCAGCAACUCAGUGAGACUCUGUCUCUA
RNAcentral lists this small RNA (107 nucleotides) under Marmota monax (woodchuck). Lineage: Eukaryota; Metazoa; Chordata; Mammalia; Rodentia; Sciuridae. The record is from RNAcentral.